AGAGUUUGAUUCUGGCUCAGGAUGAACGCUAGCUACAGGCUUAACACAUGCAAGUCGAGGGGCAGCAUGAAGUUUGCUUGCAAACUUUGAUGGCGACCGGCGCACGGGUGAGUAACGCGUAUCCAACCUUCCCUAUACUAGAGGAUAGCCCGGCGAAAGUCGGAUUAAUACUCUAUGUUCUUCGUAGAAGACAUCUGAAAUGAAGCAAAGGUUUACCGGUAUAGGAUGGGGAUGCGUCUGAUUAGGUUGUUGGCGGGGUAACGGCCCACCAAGCCUACGAUCAGUAGGGGUUCUGAGAGGAAGGUCCCCCACAUUGGAACUGAGACACGGUCCAAACUCCUACGGGAGGCAGCAGUGAGGAAUAUUGGUCAAUGGACGAGAGUCUGAACCAGCCAAGUAGCGUGCCAGGAUGACGGCCCUAUGGGUUGUAAACUGCUUUUAUACAGGGAUAAAGUGCACUACGUGUAGUGUUUUGUAGGUACUGUAUGAAUAAGGACCGGCUAAUUCCGUGCCAGCCGCCGC
RNAcentral lists this ribosomal RNA (522 nucleotides) under uncultured bacterium. RNAcentral describes it as "bacterial SSU rRNA". It matches the Rfam family "Bacterial small subunit ribosomal RNA", at positions 8 to 518 of the family's 1533-position model. The record is from RNAcentral.